GGACAUAUCACGUUGAAACAUUGGUUCCUGUACAAUCACCAAAGUUAAGCAAUUUUGUGCUUGGUCAGUACCUUGAUGGGUAACCUCUUAAGAAUACCAGGUGCUGUAA
Molecule: non-coding RNA, 109 nt
Organism: Acanthosepion pharaonis
Lineage: Eukaryota; Metazoa; Mollusca; Cephalopoda; Sepiida; Sepiidae
Source: the annotation of a GenBank genome assembly